GUCAUAGUUUUCCGAAAGGAAUUCGUCAGUUCGGCUGGACGGUGCACAGGUGCUGCAUGGCUGUCGUCAGCUCGUGUCGUGAGAUGUUCGGUUAAGUCCGGCAACGAGCGCAACCCUCGUUUCCAGUUGCCAGCGGGUAAUGCCGGGGACUCUGGAAAGACAAACCUCUUGUUGAGGUGGGAAGGUGGGGACGACGUCAAGUCAGUAUGGCCCUUACGACCAGGGCUGCACACGUGCUACAAUGCCCGGUACAAUGGGAUGCAAUAUCGCGAGAUUGAGCCAAUCCAUAAAGCCGGGCCCAGUUCGGAUUGGAGUCUGCAACUCGACUCCAUGAAGUUGGAAUCGCUAGUAAUGGCGUAUCAGCAACGACGCCGUGAAUACGUUCCCGGGCCUUGUACACACCGCCCGUCACAUCAUGAAAGCCGGUUUGCCCGAAGUACAUGAGUCACCGCAAGGAGACAGUGUUUAAGGUGGGGCUGGUAAUUGGGAUGAGUGUACAAGGUAACCAGGGCGAUUCAGCACACUGCGGCCGUAUAGUGAU
Molecule: ribosomal RNA, 541 nt
Filed under: uncultured bacterium
Lineage: Bacteria
Description: bacterial SSU rRNA
Rfam family: Bacterial small subunit ribosomal RNA
Source: RNAcentral